RNAcentral lists this unclassified non-coding RNA (644 nucleotides) under Hevea brasiliensis (rubber tree). The record is from RNAcentral. Lineage: Eukaryota; Viridiplantae; Streptophyta; Magnoliopsida; Malpighiales; Euphorbiaceae.
UGUCGAUAUUGGCGGAGUUGGGACAGAAGGGUGGCAUUCUGAAAGUGGUCGCAAAAGUUGCAUUGCUUUGGGGUGGUAUACGAGGUGCUAUUAGUCUAACUGACAGGCUCAUCUCAUUUCUGCGCAUAGCUGAACGUCCUUUGUUCCAGAGGAUUCUUGCAUUUGUUUGUAUGGUGCUUGUUUUAUGGUCACCAGUGUUUGUUCCAUUUCUCCCUACACUUGUGCAAAGUUGGACAACAAAGAAGCCAUCCAGGACUGCUGAGAUUAUUUGUAUUAUUGGCCUCUACAUGUCUAUUUUCUUACUAGUUACUCUAUGGGGCAAAAGGAUACGUGGCUAUGAGAAACCGCUUGACCAGUAUGGACUAGAUAUGACUUCAAUGCAUAAGGUACAGAUUUUUCUGAAAGGUUUAUUUGGAGGAACCAUCCUUGUUUUGCUAAUAUAUUCUGUGAACUCCUUAAUUGGCUGUGUUGAUUUCCGUUUUCCCAUGGCUCCUCCAACCUCUUCAGCAGCUUUAACCUGGCUAAAGGUGUAUGGUCGGAUAUUUGUUUUAUUUGUUCAAGGAGUUGCAACGGCAACAAGUGUUGCCACUGUUGAGGAGCUUCUUUUCAGGUCAUGGUUGCCUGACGAAAUUGCUGCUGACCUG